Long non-coding RNA from Ruditapes philippinarum (Manila clam), 4527 nucleotides. RefSeq lists it as uncharacterized. The record is from RefSeq and is a predicted model, not a curated record. NCBI's taxonomy places the organism in Eukaryota, Metazoa, Mollusca, Bivalvia, Venerida, Veneridae. The transcript is spliced from 3 exons.
AGUACAGUAAAAUAAUUUUCAUAUUGUGUUAACGUGCUUUGAUAAUAAAACAACUUCGUUAAAAUUCUCACAGAACGUUUAGGAAGCAUUAUUUUAGAUAUAUUUUGUCUUUUGUCACGUCUUCAAACGUUUAGACGAUUUUAAUAUUCAGUUUUUAUUUAACUGUAAAUGGACUAGUAUUUUAAGAGAGUAGGUUUUAAAUAUCAGUAUAUCUACAACUUAAAUUAAAUGAAAUUGGAAGGACGUAUUGCAGUUUUUAAGAAUCAUUUGAUAAAUAGUGAAUUGAAUAAAAUGAGAGAAGACAAAAACAUAAAAGGUGGAAAGGAUUUGCACUUCGAAAACACAGUAUGUUCUCUAAAUAAUUUAAUUUUACAUGCUUUGAUGUACAUCUCGCUGUUAACAAUUCCGAUACUGAUUGUUGUGAUGAUAGUUUCAAUAGUGACUUGUUCCAGCACUGCAAUGGGGACAAAAACUUUUAGCGAUACAUUUGUGCAUCUACUUAGUGAAGCUGCACACUUUUGGGCAAAAUGCGUUUUGGUCUUAAUUGCAGAAAUUGUAUUGGUCUUGUAUCCGUUGCAUCGGAUUGCGCAAGCGCAAAGACACAGUGAAAUUAUGACUUUCGUUCCAAUUGUCCUACUUACUGUUUCGUUUAUUGUCUUUAUGUUAAAGCUUGAACCAACCCCUCAAAACUUUUUUGAAUAUUUCCUAAAUUCAUUAAUUUUAUUUUUCUUCGUUUUAUUUUUUUGACUUUUCAUCACGUUACAGCUACGGCUUAAAACCGCCUUCUGUAGACCAACUACCUAUUUAAACAACAGUUAGUAAAAGAAAAUAUAAUAGACAAUAUCAACAAGGAAAGGCGGCGUUCAAUAGAUCCUCACAAAAGAUCUAAACACUCCAGAGCAACCCCUUUCCGGACAACCAAAUUACCUUUAUCGAAAUAGAUAUUACGCUACAGAGGUGGUUCUGUAUUAUUCAGAAUGUACAGAAUUGAUAUUUCCUACUUUAAUUCUAUUUCAAAAAUAUAAAAGUUGAUUUUUACUGCAUUGCAUAUGAAUUGUAUAUAAAAUAUGUUUGUUUGUUGGUUUGUUUGUUUCUUAAUUAAAUAUUACAAAAUGAUCAUUAACACCAUAUACCUAAAUUUAGUUUUUGUAUGUAAGAAUUACCAUAAUGGAUGUAAAAUUGUUUUAUGCUUUGAAUACAAGUAAACAUAUCUCAGUAUACAAAUCAUAAUUCAUUUAAAAUAGUUUUGACUUAUGAUUAAAUUAAGUUAUAUCUUGCAUGUAGAUUAGAAAAAUACAACAUCAACAAAAAGACAACAAAAAGUGCAAAACAGACGUGUACUCGUAUAAUUUUGCAAUUAAAUGUAAAAAAGUAAUAGUAAUUAAGUGAUUAACAUUUCAGCAUUUAAAUUGACUUUUCUGUAAAAAAAUGCACUGUUUAGUCACUCAACUGUGACUUUUGUAAAAACUUGAAGAAUUAAAAUGAUGUGUUAUGAGUUUUGGAGAUAUAGAUAUAUUUCUUAACCGACUAUCUUCUAAAAAAUCAAAUUAAAAAGAAAACGUACAUCAUAAAUUUGUGGCAAAACCUAUAUGACCAUUAAGAAGGUGAUGAAAAUGAUAGUCAGUGAGGCCGUUGUUUAAUCAGUAUUGGAACUGUUUCCUAGCAUAUAAGCCAACUGAUUUGAAAUUUAGAAAUUGUUGGUUUGCGUCAACCUUUAUUUAGCAACUUUUGUAAUUAAGCAACGGCAUAAAAUCCCGCCCGAUGAGUUUUACUAUGUUAGUUCAUUCCAUUUAACGACGGUUUAUAUCGCGACCAGCGUCAACUAAAUGUCGGCCCAAAUAUACGACAUUAAGUGUUUAAGUAUCUAUUAAACGGCCGUUACAAUUUCAAUAGUUUCAAAAUCGGAUAAAAAUUGCUGAACACAUUUUCCCCAUUGUAAUAUUCACUUAGCCAUAUUUUGUUAGAGCAAUAACAAAUACAACACCGCAUUUGUCAUGUGCUAAGGGUGAACUUCCUUCCUGUAAAAAAAGUAAUCGGAACGAGCGAAAAAAUGACAGACAGCUAAAAAGGCCGAAGAAAUCGAAUGUUGAAAUCGUAUGUGGAAUUGAGUCUGAGUAAAAAGUAAAUGGCAUCGUUUAUAAUCAAAAAGAAACGUAAAAGGUAAUUAUUUCUGAAAGGCUACUUCACUGUUCUUUUAAACUCAGCCUUUCCUUGUCGGUGGUGUAGGUGCUCAUCUUAUAGAAAUAAUCUACUCAUUGAACUAGAUCUCGAAAAAACUAACUGAAUUUGAAAUCUGGUAGUGAAAAAACUUUUUGCUAAAAAAAAAAUAAAAAUAUUUGGAGCUCUGGCUGCUUUGUUUCAUGGUCACAAUGACCUGCUUGAUAUUAAUAUGACCGUAGAUCACAUUUUCACACACAUUUCUACGAAUAAAUACAAAAACAAACACAUAUUGAUGACCUUUUUUUAAAAAGGCAUAAAUGUAAUUAUGAGACUGUAAUACAUACAUAAUAUUGUAGUUUUUGUUAUUGUAAAGAAUGAUAUUAUAUCUAUGACUUGUAGUAUAAAAAUCCCUUUAUUUAGUAUCGGAUUUUCCAAAAUUCUACUGGGAGACCAGUUUAUUAAGAAAAACGUGAUUGGUAAAACUCUAGGAAAAAAAUUCCUAUGCUUGUUCAUAUUAAACACGAGAUACAUAAAUUUUAAAAUAAAUGCUGAAUGAGCAAAAAUGUUUAUACUGAUUUUAACAUUAGUCAUUUUGACACCAGUGACCUCUUUCAACAUAAAAAGUCAGAGGACCAUUAAAUGUAUCCACUUGCCAAAUAAUAUGAAAUAUAUCAUUGAAUAAAUUAAGUAAUUAGGAGAAAUUCAAGAUUUUGGUCUUGCGUAUGGCACACUUUUUGUAACAUGCUGCACAUGAUUAUGUGCAGGGUCAUUUUAGAGUGGCCUGAUGCAUGGCUGAGUUUUGAGCCGACAAGAUUUUCUAACUGCUAAGAAAGCUACAUAAAUCAGAAGUGUAGCCCAAAACCUGCAAAUGAAGCUUCCGUAAGAAAAUCUGCAAUGUAAUAAUCAGUUCAGUUUACAAUCCAAUCAAAUCGGCUUCGCUUAUUUCAAAAAUGUGUAUACCUAGAUCAUUGUAUGGUUGCGAAUUGUGGUUUAACCUUAAGAAGACUAUAAACAACUUGAUAGAUUUCUUAGACUAGCAACAAAAUGAUGCCAAGCUCAGUUUUAGCAAAACAUGUGUUCAACGUAAGAUUAUCAAUUUAUGUAUGUACCGAAGAGGAAAAACAGCAUGGGUUUGUUCCAGAUAUUGUAACUAUUCUUAGGAAACAUAAACACUCAAUGUUUUUAAAAAGUAAAUAGAAAGUGGUGUUUUUCCGUCAAAAGAGUCAUGGUAAAUGUUAUGCAGAACAAAAAAAUAAAUAUUUUUGAAACAUAAAAGUAUCCUUUAGGAUGGUUAAUGAUGACUUUCAUAAAUUUCGUUUUUUACAUACAAACAUAGGGAGGUCAAUUUUAUGAGAAUGUUCUUAUAACUCAACAAGCUUAAAACACGCUAUUCAGAUUAGCAAAUUAUACAUAAGAAAACAAAAUAAUACAAACAUUUCAAUGUUUCUUGAUUGUGGAACACUCUGCUAUGAUGUCAUCAAACAUGUUAUUGUAAAUUGUAAUGAAAUGGAACUUUUUCGAAAAGAAUUGUUAAAAACUGUUCAUAAAUAUAUUUAUUAGAAUAGCAAUCGCAAAUGUUUACUUUUGCAUUAAAAUGCACGAAGUAUACCAACCUCGUAGAGACGAUGAUUUUGCUUUAACAGUAUUAUGUUAAAUAUGCGUGCAAGUUGUCAUAAUAAUAUUGCUUUUUAGAAGAUAAUACGAUACUGUCAUUAGUGAUAACUGUACAAGCAUCAAAAGUAUAUCACAAGAUAAAAAAUUGUAUAAUGAAAAUGUAAAUACUCAUGAACUUAAAUAAUCUAUGUCUAUUCGAUAAUUAUUCUAAGUUUAAGUAUUAAUGCUUAUGCCUUUUUCACUUGAUAUUUUCAUGUUGCAUUUGAUCUGUACUUAACAAAUAUGUUAUGCGUGUUAUUACCACCAAUGUCUCCUGUUUAUGCAAAAUUGUAUAUGUGUAUAUUUGUUAUUUUUCAGUUAAAAACAUUGUAUUAUAAUGUUUAUCACUUAAAUGUUGAAAUAAAGAGUAUAUAUGCACCUACAAAUUUUAUGUGUUCAUAGGAUAUUUGCGCAAAUAAUAUUUGCCUGUAACAGUGGCACAUUUAUAUACUUAAAGGCAUAUUUCAUAAAAACCAUGUACAGUAUAUAUUGAUGAGAUUAAGCUGUGUGUUGUAAUUAUAUUGUAAGUACAAUUAUCAUUAUGUUGCUUGCAAACAAAUAUAUCUGCAUUAACAAUAAUUAUAUAAAACUUUAAAUAAAGACCAUUUCAUACUUUGUAUUGACAUAUGAGUGUUGUUAAAUAAUAGUCAUCCUUUCAGAUCCGGAAUUAUAAAAAAGUAUUAGAGUCAAUAAUGCAUAGAUUCCAACCUAAGU